CAAUAGCGUAUAUUAAAGUUGUUGCAGUUAAAAAGCUCGUAGUUGGAUUUCUGGUUGGCAUGUGUGGUCCUGCGCAAGCGGCGAACUAUGUGUGCUGGCCUUCCUCUCAAAGACUGCGUGGUGCUUUACCGUGCUGCGUAAGGAUUUGGGACCUUUACUUUGAAAAAAUUAGAGUGUUCAAAGCAGGCCAAUGCUUGAAUACAUUAGCAUGGAAUAAUGGAAUAGGACUUUGAUUCUAUUUUGUUGGUUUCUAGAGUUGAAGUAAUGAUUAAUAGGGACAGUUGGGGGCAUUAGUAUUUAAUUGUCAGAGGUGAAAUUCUUGGAUUUAUGAAAGACUAACUACUGCGAAAGCAUUUGCCAAGGAUGUUUUCAUUA
Molecule: ribosomal RNA, 375 nt
Filed under: uncultured eukaryote
Lineage: Eukaryota
Description: partial 18S ribosomal RNA
Rfam family: Eukaryotic small subunit ribosomal RNA
Source: RNAcentral